CUUGGAAGAAGCUUAUCACGUGUGCAUCAGCAGUGGAAAAGCAGAGCAACUGGAAGGCAUUGACACGUUUUGCCUGUCAAUAAAGAGGAGUGCUUCAGCAAUGGAUGGGCUAUAGACCAGCUACUGUGAUAAGCUAACCUCUCCUUUAUGAAGAGAAAGACAGAAUAUUGCACAAGCUAUUCUGAUAGGCAGCACUACAAGCCCUCUGACUGGAAACACCUGAGUAUCUUGGAAGGCAACCAGAGGAGGUAUACCAGGAUGGUAAAACGUCUGGAAACCAAACCGUAUGAGGAAACGAAAGAGCUGGGAACCAUCUCCUACUGAAAGGGAAAAGUAUAAUAUGUCCUG
This is a long non-coding RNA of Sceloporus undulatus (fence lizard), 348 nucleotides long. RefSeq lists it as uncharacterized. NCBI's taxonomy places the organism in Eukaryota, Metazoa, Chordata, Lepidosauria, Squamata, Phrynosomatidae. The transcript is spliced from 3 exons. The record is from RefSeq and is a predicted model, not a curated record.